CGAUUUUGGGAUGUCUAAUAGA
Molecule: non-coding RNA, 22 nt
Filed under: Arabidopsis thaliana (thale cress)
Lineage: Eukaryota; Viridiplantae; Streptophyta; Magnoliopsida; Brassicales; Brassicaceae
Source: RNAcentral